RNAcentral lists this ribosomal RNA (35 nucleotides) under Neohypocreadium dorsoporum. RNAcentral's name for it is "partial 28S ribosomal RNA". The record is from RNAcentral. Lineage: Eukaryota; Metazoa; Platyhelminthes; Trematoda; Plagiorchiida; Lepocreadiidae.
CCUGACCUCGGAUCAGACGUGAAUACCCGACUGAU